UACGUAGGGGGCUAGCGUUAUCCGGAAUUACUGGGCGUAAAGGGUGCGUAGGUGGUUUCUUAAGUCAGAGGUGAAAGGCUACGGCUCAACCGUAGUAAGCCUUUGAAACUGAGAAACUUGAGUGCAGGAGAGGAGAGUAGAAUUCCUAGUGUAGCGGUGAAAUGCGUAGAUAUUAGGAGGAAUACCAGUUGCGAAGGCGGCUCUCUGGACUGUAAUUGACACUGAGGCACGAAAGCGUGGGGAGCAAACAGG
This 252-nucleotide ribosomal RNA is filed under the name uncultured bacterium. RNAcentral describes it as "partial 16S ribosomal RNA". It matches the Rfam family "Bacterial small subunit ribosomal RNA", at positions 524 to 776 of the family's 1533-position model. The record is from RNAcentral.